Molecule: ribosomal RNA, 840 nt
Filed under: Escherichia coli
Lineage: Bacteria; Pseudomonadati; Pseudomonadota; Gammaproteobacteria; Enterobacterales; Enterobacteriaceae
Description: partial 23S ribosomal RNA
Rfam family: Bacterial large subunit ribosomal RNA
Source: RNAcentral
AAUGGGUCAGCGACUUAUAUUCUGUAGCAAGGUUAACCGAAUAGGGGAGCCGAAGGGAAACCGAGUCUUAACUGGGCGUUAAGUUGCAGGGUAUAGACCCGAAACCCGGUGAUCUAGCCAUGGGCAGGUUGAAGGUUGGGUAACACUAACUGGAGGACCGAACCGACUAAUGUUGAAAAAUUAGCGGAUGACUUGUGGCUGGGGGUGAAAGGCCAAUCAAACCGGGAGAUAGCUGGUUCUCCCCGAAAGCUAUUUAGGUAGCGCCUCGUGAAUUCAUCUCCGGGGGUAGAGCACUGUUUCGGCAAGGGGGUCAUCCCGACUUACCAACCCGAUGCAAACUGCGAAUACCGGAGAAUGUUAUCACGGGAGACACACGGCGGGUGCUAACGUCCGUCGUGAAGAGGGAAACAACCCAGACCGCCAGCUAAGGUCCCAAAGUCAUGGUUAAGUGGGAAACGAUGUGGGAAGGCCCAGACAGCCAGGAUGUUGGCUUAGAAGCAGCCAUCAUUUAAAGAAAGCGUAAUAGCUCACUGGUCGAGUCGGCCUGCGCGGAAGAUGUAACGGGGCUAAACCAUGCACCGAAGCUGCGGCAGCGACACUGUGUGUUGUUGGGUAGGGGAGCGUUCUGUAAGCCUGUGAAGGUGUGCUGUGAGGCAUGCUGGAGGUAUCAGAAGUGCGAAUGCUGACAUAAGUAACGAUAAAGCGGGUGAAAAGCCCGCUCGCCGGAAGACCAAGGGUUCCUGUCCAACGUUAAUCGGGGCAGGGUGAGUCGACCCCUAAGGCGAGGCCGAAAGGCGUAGUCGAUGGGAAACAGGUUAAUAUUCCUGUACUUGGUGUUAC